GUCUUGUUCACUGUUCAUGGUUGGGUUCCCAGUGCCUAGACCAGUGCGGUGCCCAAUACACGUUUGCUGCACGAAAGAGCAUUGAGCACGUGCCUGGUGGUGGCGAAACACGGUCUGUCAUCCUCUUGGUCGCCCCAGCCACUCAUGAGCUAGGCGUUCUGCACAUUUUUUGGAUGAGGAAAUAGAGCCCCAGAGAACUUAAGGGCCUGGCUCCGGGUCACUGAGAAGUGGCAGAGCCUGGUGGUCAAGUUUGUCUGAUUCCAAAGCUCGCACCGUUAGACUCUGGGCCCCAAAUGAGGGUGCUGCACCCAGCAAGGCUCACAGACUGGCCCGAAGUCACCCAGCCAGCUUCUGCUCAGGUCGGUGGCUUCAUUCUUCACACCGCUUUCCGCUGGGUCCCCCGAGGGCUUAGGCGUGGAGCAGGUCUUAUGUUCAAUACUUUCAUUCUGCCUUUUAUUAAGCCAGGUAAGGGCUCUGCAGACUUCAUAACUGUCCACAGUUCAGCUUCGCCCUUUUUUUCCCCCUUUGCAGCUUGUAAAAUGAACACACUCCUUCAGCAGCUGUGGCGUCAUUAAUUCUCUGGCCCCAUCCUUGGUGAGGCCUCGGGCCCGAGGUCGGGCUCCUCUGACGGCCCUGGCAGGAGGCUUUUCAAGCUCCUAAUCCACUUGGCAGUUGUUUGAACUCUCAGAAAUUAUGCCUUCUCAUCUCGUCCUAAUGAACUCGUAAGCCCGGUUAACGCCAGAGGAGACAGUGCUUGUUCUUUCCGGCUGUGUCCGAGACAGAAGCUCAAGCCUUCCGAACACUCCUUUCCCUUUCUCUUCUGGGCCUCAGUUUCCCCGCCUGUGCAGUGGAGGCUCGGAGUCUCUGGCAUGGAAGGACUCUUCCAACUCAGACAUUCCAGAACAGGGACAGUGCCAUCCCCUACAAAUAGAAGCUUCAGUGGCGCCCCGCUCCUCUCGGCCUCCCGCCUUUCCUCCUUGGGAAGGCAGGCGCUGCGGCAGCCAGCAAGAAGCCCCACUGGAUGACAGCCGAGCCCAAGCAUCCCUCGGAGCUGUCACCGAGGAAAUCACACACCAGCGCCUGAAAUUCAAAUUAGAGUUUUGCUGAAGCUGCUAAAACUCAUCAAAUACUAUCUUUGAAGUCCGCUAGCAAGCUGGUCAUUGCUCUUAAAAGAGUCCCUGUUGGAAAUGAGAUGGUAGAAGGAGGGUUCAGGCAGGGCAUCUAUCCUGGGGCCUGGGAGUGGGGGCCCCUCCUCCCAACCACCCUCCCAGACAUGCCCAGCACUGAUGGUUACUAUCUGGGGGCUCCCUCACAGCAGGCUCUCUGGGUCAGCCCCCACCCUUGCCAGACCAAGAUCCCACCGCCGCACAGAGAAAGGAGCCCUGGGGCAGAGGUCUGACUGUGGGCUCUGGGGUCAAACACCAGCUUCCAGGUCCCCAUCUCUCUGCUGCUGCCUAGCCGUGUGACCCAGGGCAACUGACCUCAUCCUUCUAGGCCUCCUCUGCAAAGCGGGAUAUGAGUAUUUAUCCCUAGGGUGUAGUAAGGUAUUGCAUGAAAAGCACCCAGCACAUCCUUGCUGCUCAAUAAAUGAC
RNAcentral lists this long non-coding RNA (1592 nucleotides) under Homo sapiens (human). Its description in RNAcentral is "HSALNT0003056". Lineage: Eukaryota; Metazoa; Chordata; Mammalia; Primates; Hominidae. The record is from RNAcentral.